AGGUUUGUGGAUCGCGCGUUGCGGGCGUUGAAUAUUCAUGAAAAUAACGCAAAGCUUGUAAAGCAGUGUAACGCUCGCUGUGGUGGAAAAGACAGAUAGCAGAAGUGUGAAAUGGACUGACGUUAGCUAGAGGAAGGAAAAAUCGGGUUUCCAUCAACUGACAGCAUGGGUAAUGUGCUUUUUUGUGUGUUUCUUAAAUCUUUCCCAGUUUUCAGAUGCCAUUUUGCUUACGAAACGCACAUUUAAAGACCACAACAAGAUGAUAAAUGCUUGUUUCUUAGCUUUUAUCUAUAUAUAUAAAAUUCUCGUGUCGUGGUGUUAGUGUGCAAACUCCUCUUAAACGGCUGAACUGAUUUGUAUGAAAUUUAAGCUGGACGUUCGUUAGGUAUGAGAAUAGGUUUAGCGCUAUAGUUCGUUUCGCUAGGUGGCCUCUGGCCAAUAUUAUGAGUUCUUUUCGGUUUUUCCUACGGGUGUUAUCAAGUAGGCAUAGCCAUUUUUUCAACACGAAUAAAGUUGAACACUACUGAGACGAAAAGCUUCUAACGAACAAAUCAAUCAAAGUAGGUACACAUGACGAUUUAUUUGUGCAAUUUUAUUCAUUAAAGCGUAAAGUGGGUGAUAAAUAAGUAAAAAGCAAGUGUGUGAAUAAUUCUCUCUCUCUCUCUUCUUGGCUUUAACGACCUUACUGGUCACGCCGGCCAUUUCUGGCAUACUAGACUUAUUUUUACCACGUAGCGGGAUAGUCAGUCCUUGCUACGGGGGGAUGGUCCGGAUGGGAUUUGAACCCGGUCCUGCGUG
Anopheles funestus (African malaria mosquito) is the source of this 798-nucleotide long non-coding RNA. RefSeq lists it as uncharacterized. The transcript has 2 exons. The record is from RefSeq and is a predicted model, not a curated record. Lineage: Eukaryota; Metazoa; Arthropoda; Insecta; Diptera; Culicidae.